AGGUGGCCUUGCAGGUCCCCUGGACCGGAACUUGGGUAUUUGUUUUCUGCGAAAGCCAGAGAGAGUGAUCUUGGGCCAAGACUUAAGCUUCUCUUGCCUAAGAGGCCCCUGUGGAUUAGUGCCCAGAUGAUUUAGGGGAACAACUUCAAGUUUGCAAGCUCCCAGCAGAUCUCUGUACAAUGCAGAAUAAGAAAUCAUGGGAGUUUGAGGAAAACAAUAGUCAAGUCCCUGCUCCUUUGAUAAAAAGAAUUUGAAGGACUCUAAUUUGCAUAUUUAAUGGAAAUUCCAUCCACGGAUGCAGCUGGGGAAAGAGCUGGACCUUACAGCCGGUACGAGAGAGCUGCAAAGAGACUCAAAGAAGAGCAAAUCACUUUGCAGAGAGGGAGAG
This is a long non-coding RNA of Ochotona princeps (American pika), 388 nucleotides long. RefSeq lists it as uncharacterized. Lineage: Eukaryota; Metazoa; Chordata; Mammalia; Lagomorpha; Ochotonidae. The record is from RefSeq and is a predicted model, not a curated record. The transcript has 3 exons.